This 462-nucleotide ribosomal RNA is filed under the name Triticum aestivum (bread wheat). RNAcentral describes it as "partial small subunit ribosomal RNA". The record is from RNAcentral. Lineage: Eukaryota; Viridiplantae; Streptophyta; Magnoliopsida; Poales; Poaceae.
AUGGUAGACAGAACCUACUACACCGAAGGCUCCGAACUAACUUAUCAGGAGAAAAAUCAUCUGGUCGCAUUUUGUACUGAUCUUGAGAAUUACAAUAUCUACAAUCAAACUCCUCAACAUUAUGGUCAAUACGUGCCACUAGUGCACGUGUUAAACUACGGUAACUACCAUGAAGAUACCCUGAUAAUCCCGAAUGAUUGUGUGCCUCAUCUGAUGUAUACACACGGUAGCCUUCAUGUUUUGAAUAUACAACCAGGUCUUCCUACGAAUCUCAACUGUCCAUACCGGGUUUCUAAAAGAAGUGGAGACAUGACAAUCAAAGAAUGGAAAAAAUGUAUGGACAGUCGUAAAGAGCUUCUUGGAAGCAACAAUCAACGAAGGGCAAAAAUUGAAAACAGGAUGAUCGCCAUUCUUCAUAAUGGAGAGUCAGGGUCUAUAUUGUUUUAUACUAUUUUACCUUAA